RNAcentral lists this long non-coding RNA (437 nucleotides) under Trifolium pratense (red clover). Its description in RNAcentral is "long non-coding RNA (TPRA_LNC007729)". Lineage: Eukaryota; Viridiplantae; Streptophyta; Magnoliopsida; Fabales; Fabaceae. The record is from RNAcentral.
UUUAUCACUAUUAUUUCUUUAAGUAUUUUUAUAUUUUAUCUAAUUUAUCCUAGUAUUAAUAAAAUAAUUAUUGUUUUUUUAUGAAACUACAGAUGUGCCGAGACCAAAAAAAAUAUCAAAGAAACAAAGCAAAACAAGUGGCACCAGCCACAUGAAUACAAGGCGCCAGCCAUGUAUUUAAGGGACACAAAUUUUGUGCUAGCCACAAGAUUUAAGGUGCUAGCCACAAGAUUUAAAGUGCCGGCCGUGAGAUUUAAGGUGCCAGCCGUGAAAUUUAAGGCGCCAGUCACACAAUUCUGUUACACAAAAUAUGGCGCCAGCCUUGAAAAUUGUGGCGCCAGUCACCUAUUUUAAAGGGACACGUGCAAAAUUUAAACAACACAUGGCGCCGGUCGUGAGCUAUUCUUCAGCAAAAAUAUCAGUCUCAUCUUAUCAAG